AUCGAGCUGACGAGUCCCGAAUAGGAUGAAACGCGAUUUCUGGAU
This 45-nucleotide non-coding RNA is filed under the name Schistosoma margrebowiei. Lineage: Eukaryota; Metazoa; Platyhelminthes; Trematoda; Strigeidida; Schistosomatidae. The record is from RNAcentral.